UGGGGAAUUUUGGACAAUGGGCGCAAGCCUGAUCCAGCCAUGCCGCGUGCGGGAAGAAGGCCUUCGGGUUGUAAACCGCUUUUGUCAGGGAAGAAAUCUUCUGAGUUAAUACCUCGGGAGGAUGACGGUACCUGAAGAAUAAGCACCGGCUAACUACGUGCCAGCAGCCGCGGUAAUACGUAGGGUGCAAGCGUUAAUCGGAAUUACUGGGCGUAAAGCGUGCGCAGGCGGUUUUGUAAGACAGAGGUGAAAUCCCCGGGCUCAACCUGGGAACUGCCUUUGUGACUGCAAGGCUUGAGUGCGGCAGAGGGGGGAUGGAAUUCCGCGUGUAGCAGUGAAAUGCGUAGAUAUGCGGGGGAACACCGAUGGCGAAGGCAAUCCCCCUGGGCCUGCACUGACGCUCAUGCACGAAAGCGUGGGGGAGCAAACAGGAUUAGAUA
RNAcentral lists this ribosomal RNA (440 nucleotides) under uncultured bacterium. Its description in RNAcentral is "partial 16S ribosomal RNA". It matches the Rfam family "Bacterial small subunit ribosomal RNA", at positions 355 to 784 of the family's 1533-position model. The record is from RNAcentral.